RNAcentral lists this ribosomal RNA (3012 nucleotides) under Triticum aestivum (bread wheat). Its description in RNAcentral is "partial small subunit ribosomal RNA". The record is from RNAcentral. Lineage: Eukaryota; Viridiplantae; Streptophyta; Magnoliopsida; Poales; Poaceae.
AUGAGGAUCACCAAACAAUGCAACCUGCCACUUUCUUUGGGUAAGCAUUAUCGCUCAAAUGUGUUGUGUGAUGUGGUUGACAUGGAUGCCAGCCAUGUUCUUCUUGGGAGGCCUUGGCAAUUUGAUGUGGAUACUACACACAAGGGCAAGGAAAAUUCUUACUCUUUCAUUUGGAACAAAAGAAGGAUCAUUAUCUUACCAAACAAACCCGAAGGUAAUACCUCUAAGGAGGAGGGGAAAACUAUGUUAACUAUCUCCCAUACCUCUCAUGAGUUUAUGGAAGACUUGAAGGAGGCAGAUUUGUGUGCUGCACUUGUUGUAAAGGGAGAAGAGCACCUGACUGUUGAAAUUCCAGCAAAGGUACGUGGUUUAUUGGCAGAAUUUCAGAACAUACUUGGGGAGCCACAUGGCUUGCCACCGAUGAGAGGAAUUCAACAUAGAAUUGACUUAAUUCCGGGAGCAAGUCUUCCUAAUCUUCCACACUAUCGAAUGAGCCCAAAGGAGCAUGAUAUAUUGAAGGAGAAAGUGGAGGAAUUGUUGCAAAAGGGGCACAUUCGAGAAAGUAUUAGCCCAUGUGCUGUACCAGCCCUACUCGCGCCAAAAAAAGAUGGAUCUUGGCGCAUGUGUACGGACAGUAGAGCCGUUAACAAGAUCACCGUAAGGUAUAGGUUCCCUAUUCCCCGUCUGGAUGAUAUGUUGGAUCAGCUUAGUGGAGCAAGAGUGUUCACAAAGCUAGAUUUAAGAAGUGGAUAUCAUCAAAUCCGUAUAAGACCCGGGGAUGAAUGGAAGACCGCCUUCAAGACAAAGGAAGGGUUGUUUGAAUGGCUAGUCAUGCCAUUUGGACUCUCAAAUGCACCAAGUACCUUUAUGCACUUAAUGAAUCAAGUCCUUAGACCCUUCUUAUCCCACUUUGUUGUGGUCUAUUUCGAUGACAUCUUGAUCUAUAGCAAGGAUGAGGAUGAACACUUUGAUCACAUUCGGAAGGUGCUAGAAGUACUAAGGGAAAAUGAGCUCUACGUCAACUUGAAGAAAUGUGUUUUCCUGCAAACACAACUUCUUUUCCUAGGAUUCGUCAUAACAUGUGACGGCAUUCGUGUUGAUGAUUCUAAGGUUGAAGCAAUUCGAGAAUGGCCAACUCCUAAGACCAUUUCUGAGGUAAGAAGCUUUCAUGGCCUUGCAACUUUCUAUAGGCGAUUUGUUAAGAAUUUCAGCACUAUCAUGGCACCAAUUACCGAGUGUUUGAAGAAAGGAAAGUUCCAAUGGGCAGAAGCAGCUGAAGCUAGUUUCAAUGAGAUUAAACAAAAGCUAUCACAAGCUCCUGUCUUGGUACUACCUGAUUUCAACAAGACUUUUGAGUUGGAGUGUGAUGCAAGUGGAGUAGGCAUUGGAGCUGUCCUAUCUCAAGAAAGGAAGCCCAUUGCUUUCUUUAGUGAGAAGUUAAGUGAAGCUAGACAGAAAUGGAGUACCUAUCAGCAAGAAUUAUACGCCGUUUUCAGAGCGUUGAAAACUUGGGAAGUCUAUUUGCUGCCUAAAGAGUUCAUUGUUUAUAGCGACCAUCAAUCCUUGAAGCAUUUUAGAAAUCAAAAGCAUGUUGACCGCAUGCUAGCAAGAUGGGCAGCAUAUCUUGAGAGGUUUAACUAUCUCAUCGUGCAUAAAUCUGGAAUAACUAACAGAGUGGCCGAUGCUUUGAGUCGUCGUGCAUGCCUCUUGACUUCUUUUGAAGCUGAACUUCCGGGCAUGGGUCAAAUAAAGGAGUUGUAUGAGGGUGACGAAGACUUUGGCCAUGUUUGGGUAAAGCACGCAAGGGGCCAACCAUUAGGUGAUGACUAUUUGAUGCAAGAUGGAUAUCUCUUCAAAAAUGAUCGUUUGUGCAUUCCAAGAAGUUCUCUACGUGACAAGCUGGUUAGAGAGCUCCAUUCAAGUGAUCUUAGUGGCCAUGUUGGACGGGACAAGACUAUCGCUAACCUGGAAGCUCGCUACUUUUGGCCACAACUAAAGAGAGAUGCUGGAAAGUUCGUUCAACGGUGCCACGUAUGUCAGACCUGCAAAGGCCAAGUCCAGAACACAGGGUUAUACAUGCCUUUGCCUGUUCCUGUUGCUCCAUGGGAGGACAUUUCUAUGGACUUCGUCUUGGGCUUGCCAAGAACAAGACGAGGAAGUGAUGCUGUAUUUGUGGUCGUGGAUAGAUUCUCUAAGAUGGCUCAUUUCAUCCCAUGCCGCAAGACAACGGAUGCUCAUCAUGUGGCAAACCUAUUCUUUCGAGAAGUGGUCAGACUUCAUGGAGUUCCAAGGUCCAUUGUCUCAGACCGUAAUAGCAAGUUUCUUGCUGCAUUUUGGCUCACUUUGUGGAAGCAAUUCAACACUGAAUUGAAAUUUUCUAGCACUGCUCAUCCACAAACAGAUGGACAAACGGAAGUGGUGAACAAGUUUUUGGGUAAUCUGAUCCGUUGCAUUUGUGGAGAAAGAAAGGGGCAAUGGGAUUUGGCUUUAUCUCUUGCAGAGUUCUCCUACAAUAACUCCAAGCAUAGAUCCACAGGAAGGAGCCCUUUUUCCAUUGUCUACACUAAAGUUCCAACACAUGUGGUGGACCUGGUGAAGCUGCCAUCAAGGGGAAACUCAAAAUCAGCAUUGUCCUUUGCUGAUAAUUACACCGAGUUAUUUGAAGAGAUUCGCGGCGCUUUGGAAGCACAAAAUCAGAAAUAUAAACAACUUGCUGAUUGCAAAAAGAGGCCAAAAUCAUUCCAAGUCGGUGAUAAGGUGAUGGUAUACCUCCGAAAAGAGAGGCUGCCUUUAGGUGUUAAAGGGAAACUUAGGCAGCGAAGGUAUGGGCCCUUCUCUAUCAUGAGGAAGAUAAAUGAUAAUGCUUAUGUGAUAGAUCUUCCAAGUGACAUGGGUAUCUCCAACACUUUCAAUGUUGCGGACUUGACUCUCUACCAUCCAGAAAAAGCGCUCUAUGAAGAUAACUCGAGGGCGAGUUCCAAACAACCAGGGGAGAAUGAUGAGGAACACUAG